RNAcentral lists this ribosomal RNA (178 nucleotides) under uncultured bacterium. RNAcentral describes it as "partial 16S ribosomal RNA". It matches the Rfam family "Bacterial small subunit ribosomal RNA", at positions 513 to 690 of the family's 1533-position model. The record is from RNAcentral.
AGCCGCGGUAAUACGUAGGGGGCAAGCGUUAUCCGGAUUUACUGGGUGUAAAGGGAGCGUAGACGGCAGCGCAAGUCUGGAGUGAAAUCCCAUGGCUUAACCAUGGAACUGCAUUGGAAACUGUCCGGCUAGAGUGCAGGAGAGGUAAGUGGAAUUCCUAGUGUAGCGGUGAAAUGCG